Molecule: ribosomal RNA, 479 nt
Filed under: uncultured bacterium
Lineage: Bacteria
Description: partial 16S ribosomal RNA
Rfam family: Bacterial small subunit ribosomal RNA
Source: RNAcentral
GACGAACGCUGGCGGCGUGCUUAACACAUGCAAGUCGAACGAAGCUUGAUUACGUAUUCUUCGGUUGAGGUAUGAUAUGACUGAGUGGCGGACGGGUGAGUAACGCGUGAGUAACCUGCCCUUCAGAGGGGGAUAGCGUUUGGAAACGAACGGUAAUACCGCAUAAUGUAUUUUGACCGCAUGAUCGAAAUACCAAAGAUUUAUCGCUGAAGGAUGGACUCGCGUCUGAUUAGGUAGUUGGUGGGGUAACGGCCUACCAAGCCGACGAUCAGUAGCCGGACUGAGAGGAUGAUCGGCCACAUUGGGAGUGAGACACGGCUCAGACACCUACGGGAGGCAGCAGUGGGGAAUAUUGCACAAUGGGCGCAAGCCUGAUGCAGCAACGCCGCGUGAAGGAAGACGGUUUUCGGAUUGUAAACUUCUGUUCUUAGUGAAGAAUAAUGACGGUAGCUAAGGAGCAAGCCACGGCUAACUACGUG